Non-coding RNA from Chelonoidis abingdonii (Abingdon island giant tortoise), 70 nucleotides. The record is from RefSeq and is a predicted model, not a curated record. NCBI's taxonomy places the organism in Eukaryota, Metazoa, Chordata, Testudines, Testudinidae.
GGAGGAGGUGUCUAGGCUCAGGAGUAUCCAUGCCCUGGAGAAGUAUCUUGAUAGCCCUGCACUUCUCAUC